CUAUGUGUCUUUUUAUAAAGUUGUUGAUCUUAGGAACACUUCUAGAGUUAUUUCUCUUGAAUAUAGAAGCAAAGAAAUAUGGAAUACCCUGCUUAGACGCAGCCGUUUGCUUGCACAGAAGGAGACGACGAGUUUGUGGUUUGGAACGAGAGACCAAUGAAGUGCGCUGGUUUUUAGACAAAUGCGACCUUUUAGAGUUCAACUGUCAAUAUAAAGCAAAAUUUCGUAAAGCAAGGAGGAGGAAUUGUAGGCAGAUCCCCCCACUCUAAGCAAUGUUUAAUAAUUAAAAUAAAACUAACAAUGGCUUAGAGUUAACUUUUAUUU
This is a long non-coding RNA of Helicoverpa armigera (cotton bollworm), 324 nucleotides long. RefSeq lists it as uncharacterized. The transcript is spliced from 3 exons. NCBI's taxonomy places the organism in Eukaryota, Metazoa, Arthropoda, Insecta, Lepidoptera, Noctuidae. The record is from RefSeq and is a predicted model, not a curated record.